Molecule: long non-coding RNA, 322 nt
Filed under: Pan troglodytes (chimpanzee)
Lineage: Eukaryota; Metazoa; Chordata; Mammalia; Primates; Hominidae
Description: long non-coding RNA NONPTRT017788
Source: RNAcentral
UGUUGAUAGCAUCCAGCAUGUCAGAUACACAAAUAAUCAUCCUUAGGUCUGAUGUUGUAGUAAGACAAUACCUUUUUUUAUAAUUCCAAGAGAGGCAAAAUACUUACAACUUAAAUACACAUAAAUCUAACUAUGUAGAGAACAUGUAUAGUUAAAACUACAAAAAUCUGAUAAUGGAGGCUAAAGGAGUUCUAAAUAAACAGAGACAUACCAUAUUCAUGGAUUAGAAGACUCAAUACAGUGGAGUCAACUCUCCCUACAGUAGUCUAUAGACUGGAACACAACUGUAAUCAAAAUCCUAUCAGAAAUUAUUGUAAGUACA